RNAcentral lists this non-coding RNA (147 nucleotides) under bovine gut metagenome. Its description in RNAcentral is "THF riboswitch". It matches the Rfam family "THF (Tetrahydrofolate) riboswitch aptamer". From Rfam's summary of the family: THF riboswitch presents a pseudoknot that joins P1-P2 and the loop of P3 and two THF binding. The record is from RNAcentral.
CGAAGUAGGGAUGGCGCGUCAAGUGCCGCAGGAUGGGAAGUUGCCUGCGGACGAAGGGCAGACGGAUAAGGAUGAGUUGCAAAGGUAAAAUCAUUGCCUGACAACGAGUGCUUACAAGUGCCCGCGGUGCCAUACCCGCAUCCGUUG